AACGAACGCUGGCGGCAUGCCUAACACAUGCAAGUCGAACGAGACCUUCGGGUCUAGUGGCGCACGGGUGCGUAACGCGUGGGAACCUGCCCUUAGGUUCGGAAUAACUCCCCGACAGGGGUGCUAAUACCGGAUAAUGUCUUCGGACCAAAGAUUUAUCGCCUUUGGAUGGGCCCGCGUUGGAUUAGCUAGUUGGUAGGGUAAAAGCUUACCAAGGCGACGAUCCAUAGCUGGUCUGAGAGGAUGAUCAGCCACACUGGGACUGAGACACGGCCCAGACUCCUACGCGAGGCAGCAGUGGGGAAUAUUGGACAAUGGGCGAAAGCCUGAUCCAGCAAUGCCGCGUGAGUGAUGAAGGCCUUAGGGUUGUAAAGCUCUUUUACCCGGGAUGAUAAUGACAGUACCGGGAGAAUAAGCUCCGGCUAACUCCGUG
RNAcentral lists this ribosomal RNA (433 nucleotides) under uncultured bacterium. RNAcentral describes it as "partial 16S ribosomal RNA". It matches the Rfam family "Bacterial small subunit ribosomal RNA", at positions 29 to 507 of the family's 1533-position model. The record is from RNAcentral.